GGGAAACCCUGGGCCAAUGAAGCGGAACAUGUAACCUUAACCACUUGGCCACUGGGCUGGCCCCUAAAAUUCUGAUAUGUCCUGGUAUAAUAUCAUAUUUCCAGUCACUAUCUUAAAAUGUUAUAUGCCACAGAAAUAACCAAAUUUCCUUGUCAACUGCAUUGUAAUCAGAUCUUUAACCAUGACAUUUUAAGUCUUUUGCCAUUUACAGACAGUUAUUAUUUUACUCUGAUACUUUUGCAAAUAUGUUUCAUCUUCAAAGUUUCAUGCACAGCAAGGACUGAUAUUUACUCUAGAAUACAAGUGUCUGAUAAACUUUCAGAUUAUAAAACUGAACUGGGUAAGAAAUUACAAAACUCUAAUGGAGAAACUGAUGACUUCAUAAAACUACUAACAAAAGAUCAAGAACAAAUAUUAAGUACAUGGGACUACAUGAACCGAGAAGGAUGCUCUAAUGUUUUGUUUUCCCAGAUUUAAAGAAAUCUUUUCUCUUAAGCUUUCAACAAUUUGGUAAGAUAUAACUUCACAAACAAAGAUGAAACAUUUAUUUUAUCUCCCUACCUGAUCCUCCAGAAUUCACAAAACUUCAGUAAGUAUUCUUAUUUUCAUUUAUAUAAAUCAUCAGGCCAAGUUUUUAAUAAAAACAAAUUACUUUUACCGUGAUUAUCUUUGGUAAAAAAAAAAAUGAGGGUAAUUGUGGAGAGAAAAAUUAUGUUGCACCUUUGUAGAUACUGGAUUUUAGUCCUGUUAAUUGUCUUUGAGAUUUUAUUAUAUAUCUGUAGACUGGACUCCCCUGGCCGAAGGUAUUGCUUUUGGUCUCACCAAUUGUCCGCAGUAUCCUCUUUGGGAAACAGGAACUGACUUCAUAUGGACAGAUCAGUGUCUGUUGGUACAAAACCUUCUGCUGAUCCCUUGUUGUCUUAUGCUAAUGUGACCAGCUACUGUAAGUCUCUAAUGCCUUAUGCUUAAGUCUAUCAUCAACAGGUUAAAGAAUCUUCCUGGAUUCCAAUUUAAAGGAUCUUGUUGGUCACAGUCUAGAGCUUGGUGACUAGGUAUUCUAGAACCAUCAUCAGAGGAAAACAGCCCUCGAGCCCCAUUGGAAAGGACCUUACCAAGUGCUCCAACACUGCUGCAGAACUAGAAGGCACUGAACCUUGGAGAGACAUCUCACAACCAAAAAACGUUCCACCUGAGAUCUGGUCCUGUACAAACGCUGGGACUUCCAAAUCAAACUGACUACGAGAAGAAGCUGCCAACAUCUGAGGCAGACAGCUUUCCCAAGGUGGCUGGAUCAGGCAUGCCCUCCACUUCCCACCCCUCCUUUACCAGUCUGAGACAGAAAGAACUUGCCUAAGAAUGGAGGAGGAGAGAGCUUACCUAAGAAAACAGCAUCAAGAGACAGAGAAAGACUGGAUCAAAAUAACAUCAUUAAAGCCGCACCUCCCUUGGAGUUUUAAGGUAAAAAAGUGAAUGCAUUCCUUAUUCUGCCUAAGCUAAUUUGAUUUUUAGUUUUAUUUUGUUUUAAUUGAAAUCAAAAGUAUACUAAUUUCUACAUAUGUGAAUCCUCUGUGUCUACUGGUUCUAUUAAAUAUGUCUAAUUUUAAUCAUAAUAUUUUAAAGCUCUAUUUUUUUGUAAUUUGAAGCUGAAAUCUCAUGUAACUAUAAAACUGCAAUAAUCAAUCUGGUGGUGGAGCUUUAUCAUCACCAUAACUUUUACUAGAAAAGACUGACAACCUCAUUUAACCAAUUUUCUAUAAAAUGAUGAAGUUGAUGAAGAAAAUCCACUAAUCCAGUAAGUGCUAAAGCAAGAAUUUGAACUCACAUCUGGUUCUAGGUGCCAUAUUUUAUCCAGUAUAGUCCUAGGAACAGCUUCUUAGAAGCUCUGAAAAAUUUGAGAAGAUGCUACACAUUGGAACACAUAAUCAAAUGCAUGGUCGGUACAUAUAUAGAUCCCAUAUGGUCACUUUGGUUUUGUUAAAUCCUGGAGACAGAUGCAAUUACAUAUGGGAACAAUGCAUCUCACUGUCCCCAAACCUUCCCCUUUUCCUCCUGCAUAUUUUUUGUAAAUUUGAAGUUUUUAAUUUCUAUUGCGACCAAAAAAUAUUUUCUAAUGUCAUUAUCAAGUGGACAAUGGAUCAGAAACUGAGAAUCAGGUAAAAAAAUUCUGAUAUGGUCUCCAUCUCUCAUUCCCCCCACCUAACCCCAAACCUCCACUGUACACUUUUGGUCGUAUUGGCCUGUUUGCUUCUUAGUUAAUAGUAAUGUAACUCUUUAUAAAGUUUUCAUUUUAUUUAAUUCUGAAACAGUCCUGAAUUUACAGAAAACUAGGGAGUACAGCGUAAAGAAUUUUUUUUCCUGUGCCACUUGAGAGGAAGUUGCUGACCUCAUGCCCCAUCACCUACAAAUACUUAAGUGUAUAUUACCUACAAAUAAGGACAUUAUCAGAACAAUCCUCGAAAUCAGGAAAUAAAUAAUUCUCAGAUUCCAUUCAAGUUUUUCCAAUUGUCUCCAAAAUUGUCUUUUAAAACCAAAGGAUUAAGUUCAGAAUCUCAUGCUGCAUCUGAUAGUCAUGUCACUUUUGUCUUUGUCAAUCUGGAACAGGCUAGAACAUUUCCUCUAUCUUUCCUUGACUUUCAUGACUUGGACAGUGUUCCAUAUUAUAGGCUAGCUAUUCUAUAGACUGUCCCUUGAUUUAGAUUUUUCUAAAGGUUAUUCUAGAUUCAUGUUACGCAUCUCUGGCAGAAAUAUCACAGAAGUGAUGCUAUGUUCUUGUCGUUAUGUUUUAUCAGAGGCACAACUUCAACUUGUCCUGUCACUGAUGAUGUUAACAUUGAUCAUUUGAUGAAGAUGAUAUCUUCCAGGCUUCCCCACUGCAAAGUUAUCCUUCUUCAAAUAUAGAGAACAUACUCACCUCCUUUCCAAGCAAAAUAAUCCAGAGUCUCAUUAAGUUACUUCAUUCUGCUCAAAAUCCAACAUCUUGGGGUGAUGUAUAGCCAUUUCUGUUGUGUCCAGGUGUGGGUCUUCAUGGUCUAGCAAGCCUGUCAACUAAAAUGCAAGUUAGCCUACUCUCUCCCAUGUCUACCCAAUACCCUCCUUUAAAUGGCUGAAUGGAACGGCAAUAAUCGCAAAAGACACUUUCAUUUGGUAAGGGAAGAAUGGGUGAGACAUAGCAGUCACAGGUCUAUAACAAUUAUUAAAUCCUACUGGGUAGGAGGUAGAAAUACUUGCUAACCUCGCAGUAGAGUCAGUUCCUUGAAAAGCCUAUCUGGAUACCCUUGGUUCUGUUCUCAGAGAUUAACACUCUAGUCCUUGAGCCUUCUGUGGCAGGAUAUUACUUGUUCAUGGUCUUAUGUGGCCACAUUUGAUGUAAGCAUUAGGGAGAAUGUCCACCCUGAGAAUUGUACAUCAUUUUUCCAAGUCAGGCGACCUGAAGGUGUCUUUAAGGGCUCAAAAAAAAUCAAAGAAUUUUGCAGAACAGGCUUGAGAUUUCUUUGCCAAUGUGAUGUCUUCAAAAAGGUAGUUGCCUUAGAGUCUUUGCAUCAAGGCAGUUCCACGUGCUAAUAACCAUCCAAUGAUGAUUCUUUUCAUCUUGCAAUAUGCUUUAAAUUUCCAUUUACUUAGGCCUUUUCUUCUAAUCUUCAAUAAAAUUUUCAUUUCAUACAAUACAUAUUUAUUUGUUCAUGAAUAUAUUAAAAUGUAUUGUUAUUUUAUU
Molecule: long non-coding RNA, 3712 nt
Organism: Equus caballus (horse)
Lineage: Eukaryota; Metazoa; Chordata; Mammalia; Perissodactyla; Equidae
Source: RefSeq, a predicted model, not a curated record